CCAAUAGCGUAUAUUAAAGUUGCUGCAGUUAAAAAGCUUGUAGUUGAAUUUCGGGACUAAUAUGUCAGUCGUGCCUCGGUACGUACUGGUAUCGUUGGUUUCUCCCUUCUGACGAACCAUGAUGUCAUUUAUUUGGUGUCGUGGGAAAUCAGGACUGUUACUUUGAAAAAAUUAGAGUGUUUAAAGCAGGCUCACGCUUG
Molecule: ribosomal RNA, 200 nt
Filed under: uncultured Glomus
Lineage: Eukaryota; Fungi; Glomeromycota; Glomeromycetes; Glomerales; Glomeraceae
Description: partial small subunit ribosomal RNA
Rfam family: Eukaryotic small subunit ribosomal RNA
Source: RNAcentral